AUGAGAAGAUGGAAAUGGCUGCUCCCUCAAAUGUCGUACAGAGGUAGAGUUUUAGUUUUAAAUAAUCUUGUUGGAUCCCUCUUGUGGCAUCGUCUGUCGUGUGUGGACCCCCCCUCUGGCCUACUAGCGGAAAUCCAGAAAAAAAUUGUUGAUUUCUUUUCGGGGAGUCUGCACUGGGUGCCACAGGGGGUGCUAUACUUGUCGAGAGAGGAGGGGGGACAGGGCCUCAUCCACCUGGCCAGCAGAACGGCCACUUUCAGACUGCAGUUCAAAAAAAGGUUUCUGACAGGGCCGUCCGACCUGGUGUGGAGGAACGUGACCAGCUGUAUCCUCAGAGAUGUGAGUAAAUUGGGGCUGGAUACUGCUCUGUUUUUAACUGAUUCAAAAUUUUUAAAGUUGAAUGGGCUUCCUCCUUUUUAUCAGGGCGUUUUUAAGUCUUGGGCCCUUUUUAAUCACAAAACAUGUGAACAUUUUAACUCUCUGCACUGGUUACUAAAGGAGCCUUUGAUCCAUUGGAGCAGGCUGGACGUCUGUAGCGUGACGCCCGGGCUGCUGACAUCACUGUAUAGGUCAAAGACUGUGAGCCUGCAGCGGCUGGUGGAGGCUGCAGGGCCGGAGCUGACGGGGGCCGGGGCCCUGGGCUCGCUCCUGGGCAUUCGAUCGGUCAGGGUGGUUCAGAAGCUGCUGGAGCUCUGGAGGCAGAAGCUCUGUGGGACGGAGAGGAGCCUCCUCAUGAAGUACUCCCGAGGAGAGGAAAUACCAGACCCCACGGACCCUUUCCCAGACAUCAUCCUGAGCCCAGCGUUAGGUGAAGAGACCGGCCCCCUGUUAGCUGUCAGCAGCCCGGGCAAGCUCAGCCUGCACCGGGCCGACAAGGCUACAUUAGACUGGAGCGACUCUACAAUAAGACUCAACUCACUGUACACCGCCAAAUGUAUUCGGACAACCUCCAUCACGACAAGAAUGCCCUCACCACUGCCAAAACCUUAUACUACUCCAACCUCAUCAACACUGGUACAGGCAACAGCAGAGUCCUCUUCUCAACAGUCAGCCACUUACUUCAGCCUCCUAAAUCUCUCCCUCCAGACAUUUCCACCACCCAAUGCACUGCGUUCCUUGACUUCUUCAGCUCUAAAAUCAACACCAUUCACCAACAACUGGCCUCAUCUCGCACCCCCUCUGAUGACCCACCCUGGAUGA
Molecule: long non-coding RNA, 1200 nt
Filed under: Gadus morhua (Atlantic cod)
Lineage: Eukaryota; Metazoa; Chordata; Actinopteri; Gadiformes; Gadidae
Description: lncRNA (ENSGMOG00000036130.1)
Source: RNAcentral